This 497-nucleotide ribosomal RNA is filed under the name Escherichia coli. RNAcentral describes it as "partial 23S ribosomal RNA". It matches the Rfam family "Bacterial large subunit ribosomal RNA", at positions 1262 to 1761 of the family's 2925-position model. Lineage: Bacteria; Pseudomonadati; Pseudomonadota; Gammaproteobacteria; Enterobacterales; Enterobacteriaceae. The record is from RNAcentral.
UGUGAGGUAUGCUGGAGGUAUCAGAAGUGCGAAUGCUGACAUAAGUAACGAUAAAGCGGGUGAAAAGCCCGCUCGCCGGAAGACCAAGGGUUCCUGUCCAACGUUAAUCGGGGCAGGGUGAGUCGACCCCUAAGGCGAGGCCGAAAGGCGUAGUCGAUGGGAAACAGGUUAAUAUUCCUGUACUUGGUGUUACUGCGAAGGGGGGACGGAGAAGGCUAUGUUGGCCGGGCGACGGUUGUCCCGGUUUAAGCGUGUAGGCUGGUUUUCCAGGCAAAUCCGGAAAAUCAAGGCUGAGGCGUGAUGACGAGGCACUACGGUGCUGAAGCAACAAAUGCCCUGCUUCCAGGAAAAGCCUCUAAGCAUCAGGUAACAUCAAAUCGUACCCCAAACCGACACAGGUGGUCAGGUAGAGAAUACCAAGGCGCUUGAGAGAACUCGGGUGAAGGAACUAGGCAAAAUGGUGCCGUAACUUCGGGAGAAGGCACGCUGAUAUGUAG